Molecule: long non-coding RNA, 1693 nt
Organism: Passer domesticus (house sparrow)
Lineage: Eukaryota; Metazoa; Chordata; Aves; Passeriformes; Passeridae
Exons: 3
Source: RefSeq, a predicted model, not a curated record
UUCUCCACCAUUCCCUCUGCUCCAGGCCCUUCCAUGGCAAGAGGCUAUGGGCUGGUUGCCCCAUACCACUGUCUCCCUCAGCCUUGUGCUCCAUGGCAAACCCAAUCCUACAAACCCCUUCAGUGAGCAGAGGCACAGGGUGUUGCUGACCCACAUAGAGGGUUUGCUGUUUGUAAGACCAUAAUUGCACACAUCCCUGAAGGGCCAUGGUGCUUUUUGGAUAAUAUUUCAUGAUAGCAAAUGAAGGAGCCCAAAGCAGAGAAGUGCCAAGCACUUUGGCCUGGCAGGGAGCAGGCCAAGGCUCCACGUGGGACCUUUCCUUGCAAUGGGGCUGUAGGAAGGCAGAAGAGAUUCAGCUUUCUCCCCCAACAAACCUUUACCCUCCGACCCAAAACUUUAGUUCUUCUGGCUCCAAGGAGAAAUUGGUACCUGACUCCUCUCCAUCGUCUCACAUUUGCUCCCAGUUAUUUUAUUCUAGUUUCUGAGAGGGAAAAGGAAUGUCACUACAUUUUGUUUCUGGUCUGAAAAGAAGCCCCAAAGGGAGCUGAAGGCAGGGCCAGGUAGACCCAGAGCCAGCUUCCCAGCUGUGGCCCACACUCCCCUGCCCCAGGCUCUCCUCCAUGACUCAGCUCCCAGGGACCAGCCCAGCCCUUUGUCAAUUUAUCUUCACAGCCCCUCCUCACCCAGGGCAACCCUGCACACAGGAGGCUUUUCCAAAGGAGAACCCAGUACACAUCACGUAGUUACUUCUCCAAGAGAAGUAUUUUGGAAACUUGAGCUAGGCAUCUCUUUGUUUUUAUGAUCUGAAUUCUCCAAGCCUCUCCUGUAGACAGGACAGUCAUGGCACUGGUGGAGCUGGAGGGCUUCAUUAGAAGUAAUUUCUGGGUUUUCUUAGCCGGUGGAUGCAUAAAGGAAGGAGGGAGAGGAACCCUACUGUACCUGGAAAGAGGCUUCUCUUGGCAGCCAAAGCUAAGUGUCAAAGCUUAGCUAUGGAGCAAAGGGUCGUGAGUAAGUGCAGGCAAUCCAUGGCAGCAGGAGUGGGUCACUGUCAGGAUCUCCUGUGUGUUUUCAUCCCAGCUAAGCAGUGUUUAAAUGAACUGGAUCUCACACCAGUCUUUAUGUGCCUCUGUGGAGGCAACUACAGGAGCACCACCACUUUUCCACCUGUCUCCACAAACAGGUCUUCAGAAUUCCUUCUCAGCUGAGAUCUGAACCAGAUUGUGCCCCAGGGCACCCACACUUCUUCAAGGAGUGUUACUCAGUUUUCUGGCACAGCCUUAAACAUGUAAAUUUUAAUCUGUCAGUGACCUAUUAGGCAGGAUCCCUGUCCUAAGCAGCUGCAUUUUUAUCUCAUUACAAAGCAUUUCAGGAAGCAUGAAUCUAGCCCAGGUCUCAGACAACCUGCCUGGAAGAACUCCUGCUGGGCCAUUCCAUAGUGCUGGGAUGCUCACCAAGGAGUCCUCCACGACCACGUGGACUGAAAGCCACUGCUAGCAUGCAUGACAGGGUCACUUCUGCUCUUCUCUUCUGCUUUAACACAUGGGGGCAAUUCAUCACUUUCUCCUGACAACGUGCUUCUGGAGGCACAGAUUAGAGGUCCGGAUCCAAAUGAGAGAAAUGUGGGCAUUUCCCUUCAAAGAUCAUUAAACUGAUCCCUAUCCAGCACUGUCUGUGCCUCUGCACAAACCUCAUA